RNAcentral lists this ribosomal RNA (1269 nucleotides) under metagenome. RNAcentral describes it as "bacterial LSU rRNA". It matches the Rfam family "Bacterial large subunit ribosomal RNA", at positions 1671 to 2925 of the family's 2925-position model. The record is from RNAcentral.
GUAGAGAAUACCGCUUGAGAGAACUCUGGUGAAGGAACUAGGCAAAAUAGUACCGUAACUUCGGGAGAAGGUGCGCUGCUGACGGUGAAGGCCUUGCGCCGUAAGCUGUUGGCAGCCGAAGUAACCAGGCCGCUGCGACUGUUUGUUAAAAACACAGCACUCUGCAAACACGAAAGUGGACGUAUAGGGUGUGACGCCUCCCCGGUGCCGGAAGGUUAAUUGAUGGGGUCAGCCGCAAGGCGAAGCUCUUGAUCGAAGCCCCGGUAAACGGCGGCCGUAACUAUAACGGUCCUAAGGUAGCGAAAUUCCUUGUCGGGUAAGUUCCGACCUGCACGAAUGGCGUAACGAUGGCGGCGCUGUCUCCACCAGAGACUCAGUGAAAUCGAAAUCGCGGUGAAGAUGCCGUGUACCCGUGGCUAGACGGAAAGACUCCGUGAACCUUUACUGUAGCUUCACACUGGACUUUGACAUGAUCUGUGUAGGAUAGCUGGGAGGCUUUGAAGUGGUGACGCCAGUUGCCAUGGAGCCGUCCUUGAAAUACCAGCCUGGUCCUGUCGGGGUUCUAACGUCGACCUGUUAUCCAGGUUACGGACAGUGUGUGGUGGGCAGUUUGACUGGGGCGGUCUCCUCCCAAAGAGUAACGGAGGAGCACGAAGGUGCGCUAAUCACGGUCGGAAAUCGUGAGGUUAGUGUAAAGGCACAAGCGCGCUUGACUGCGAGACAGACAAGUCGAGCAGGUACGAAAGUAGGUCUUAGUGAUCCGGUGGUUCUGUAUGGAAGGGCCAUCGCUCAACGGAUAAAAGGUACUCCGGGGAUAACAGGCUGAUACCGCCCAAGAGUUCAUAUCGACGGCGGUGUUUGGCACCUCGAUGUCGGCUCAUCACAUCCUGGGGCUGAAGCCGGUCCCAAGGGUAUGGCUGUUCGCCAUUUAAAGUGGUACGCGAGCUGGGUUUAGAACGUCGUGAGACAGUUCGGUCCCUAUCUGCCAUGGGCGUUGGAGAUUUGAGAAGAGUUGCUCCUAGUACGAGAGGACCGGAGUGAACGAACCUCUGGUGUACCGGUUGUCACGCCAGUGGCAUUGCCGGGUAGCUAAGUUCGGACGGGAUAACCGCUGAAAGCAUCUAAGCGGGAAGCCUCCUUCAAGAUGAGAUCUCCCUGGAGCUUCAAGCUCCCUAAAGGGCCGUCGAAGACUACGACGUUGAUAGGCGAGGUGUGGAAGCGUUGUGAGACGUUGAGCUGACUCGUACUAAUUGCCCGUGCGGCUUGACC